GGGCUAUUAGCUCAGUUGGUUAGAGCGUACCCCUGAUAAGGGUAAGGCCAGUGGUUCAAAUCUACUAUAGCCCA
This 74-nucleotide transfer RNA is filed under the name Leontynka pallida. RNAcentral's name for it is "tRNA-Ile". It matches the Rfam family "tRNA". From Rfam's summary of the family: Transfer RNA (tRNA) molecules are approximately 80 nucleotides in length. Their secondary structure includes four short double-helical elements and three loops (D, anti-codon, and T loops). Further hydrogen bonds mediate the characteristic L-shaped molecular structure. tRNAs have two regions of fundamental functional importance: the anti-codon, which is responsible for specific mRNA codon recognition, and the 3' end, to which the tRNAs corresponding amino acid is attached (by aminoacyl-tRNA synthetases). tRNAs cope with the degeneracy of the genetic code in two manners: having more than one tRNA (with a specific anti-codon) for a particular amino acid; and 'wobble' base-pairing, i.e. permitting non-standard base-pairing at the 3rd anti-codon position. Lineage: Eukaryota; Viridiplantae; Chlorophyta; Chlorophyceae; Chlamydomonadales. The record is from RNAcentral.